AUUGAACGCUGGCGGCAUGCCUUACACAUGCAAGUCGAACGGCAGCACGGGUGCUUGCACCUGGUGGCGAGUGGCGAACGGGUGAGUAAUACAUCGGAACAUGUCCUGUAGUGGGGGAUAGCCCGGCGAAAGCCGGAUUAAUACCGCAUACGAUCUACGGAUGAAAGCGGGGGACCUUCGGGCCUCGCGCUAUAGGGUUGGCCGAUGGCUGAUUAGCUAGUUGGUGGGGUAAAGGCCUACCAAGGCGACGAUCAGUAGCUGGUCUGAGAGGACGACCAGCCACACUGGGACUGAGACACGGCCCAGACUCCUACGGGAGGCAGCAGGGGGGAAUUUUGGACAAUGGGCGAAAGCCUGAUCCAGCAAUGCCGCGUGUGUGAAGAAGGCCUUCGGGUUGUAAAGCACUUUUGUCCGGAAAGAAAUCCUUGGCCCUAAUACGGUCGGGGGAUGACGGUACCGGAAGAAUAAGCACCAGCUAACUACGUG
This 486-nucleotide ribosomal RNA is filed under the name uncultured bacterium. RNAcentral describes it as "partial 16S ribosomal RNA". It matches the Rfam family "Bacterial small subunit ribosomal RNA", at positions 30 to 507 of the family's 1533-position model. The record is from RNAcentral.